Molecule: unclassified non-coding RNA, 256 nt
Filed under: Hevea brasiliensis (rubber tree)
Lineage: Eukaryota; Viridiplantae; Streptophyta; Magnoliopsida; Malpighiales; Euphorbiaceae
Source: RNAcentral
GAAGAUUCCUCACCCUCCGACACAACCGCGGGUGUUGUUCGUAACCGCAACGCCGCCUCGUGGGCGGCAACACGGAUGUCGUCAGGAGUAGAGCUAAGAGGGAAGGGAAGAGAGUUGACAAGAUGCGGGAAGUUGAGACGAGCAUCCCGACCACGGAAGUGGUAGGCAGCGACGUCAUAGGCCGCUGCUGCCAUCUCCGGGGUCUCGAAGCUCCCCAACCAAAUUCUCGUCUUCUUUCCCGGCUCUCGAAUCUCCG